UUGGUUGCGCUCAAGAAGGCAUUGGCCGC
This 29-nucleotide non-coding RNA is filed under the name Homo sapiens (human). The record is from RNAcentral. Lineage: Eukaryota; Metazoa; Chordata; Mammalia; Primates; Hominidae.